AACCCUGGGGUUCCACACCAACGACAGAGACAUUGACUCUGGGCCAAAGUGCCACAAAUUACCAAUAAUGUUAAUGAUUUUAUAUGCCAUAGUUUUUUCUUGCAAUCCAGUUGUAGUCAGAAAUUAAGUGUUUUUGCAUUUUGUGAAGACAAAUGGUAACAAUUUUUACCUUAGUUAUCCCAGAAAUAUCAAAGCACAUUUGGGAUGUUCUAAAGGCCCAAAAUGUUGACAAAAGGGCAUUCUAAAAUAACUGUACUGUUACUGCGCUUUUUGAAUCAAUUACACUUGAUAUUGAUAAUGAUAUUCAAAUGGGUCCAAUGGCGAAGGUAAGAAGAGUGUCUGCUAUUGUAUGUCCCAGAACUGAUUAUUGUUACAUUGUUCUGGAAGUACCCUUGAAGUAGCUCUCCGUUUUUUAAAAGUUUGGUGACCCCUGCUCUAGAAUAUUCACAUUAGCUCACUGUCAUGUCAAAAACACAUACACCACAUCUGUAUUGGUGUGAAAUGAAAUCUCCAUGUUUCAAUAUGUUUCUUCAACUGCAGGAGAACCUCAAGUGGGCCUGGAUCAAAAUCAACUCCAACAAGUCACGGAGCAGCUCUAUAGUCGGGUCGAUAGUUCUGCAUUGUUGGUGACCCAAUACCAGUGAGGUCUUAGCAACCUGUCAAGAGCCUGGGUAGAUGCUACAACACAAGCCUCAAGGACAAAGACCAAGUGCAACAGUUUGGUGGAAUUUACGACAAGAGGGGGCGCUGCAGAACAAGUUUGGAGGCCACUGCUAUAGUAGAAAUAUGUCUACGUUCCACCCCGAAGGUGCUUCACAGUUCACUACGUGGUAAGUACUGUGAGAGAUAUUCACCAUCUGAAAUACACACAGUGGAGAAAAAAACUGAUGAGACUGUGUUUUAAAGUUCUAAAUCAGGCAUGGGCAAACUACGGCCCGGGGGCCAGUUGAAACCCGUUUUUUUAUUUGUAAUCUGGCCCGCAAAACUUGUCCAACUUAUAUAAUUAAUUUAUAUUAACAUUAUAUUUCAUUUUAGUAUUUAGCCUUAAUGCCAGACCCUAGUUCAUACUAACGCUCCAUCUAUCUGACCUGACCCGGCCUCCCUGUCAUAUAUUAGAACCCAUUGUGGCCUGCGAAUCAAAAAGUUUGCCCACACCUGUUCUAAAUGUUUCUAUGUAGUAUCAGUUUAUCUUAAAAAGACAAGUAAAACUGUAUUUUUAUUAGAUCAUAUAGUGUGUGUAUUUAUAUGUAGCUGUGUUCAGAGUGUCAUGUCAGAUGAUGUGUUCUACUUUCUACAUUCUCCCUGAAGGGUCUCUGUAAACGUCCCAGAUCUGUCCUCUCUCUCUCUCUCUCAGUCUCCCUCUCUUUCCCCCGUCCCUCUGAAACAUUUACAGCACAGACGUAGAUGCCUUCUGUUGAGGCAGAUCUGCCAGAUCAUGAUGGUAACUUCACACUAACUGUCAGUCAGCACUGGAGCAGGUCACUGUCACUGUUAAACUCUCCACCUCUGCCUUUUCAUCUCUGAAAUGGCAAAUAGACCAAAAUUGCCAUAAUGACUUUUAUUAUUUGAGUUGCCAAAACGAAAAAACUUAACUUCCUUCCUUAUUGACUGUUGUCCAUGAAACUCUAAACUGUAAAGAAUCAUUGUCAGACUCCAGUAGUAGUCGUCCUGUCUUUGGGUGAUGGUCUUGCCAUUGUCUCCAUUUUAAUAUAUUUCUUUUCUUGACUGUUUACAGCAUUAUGCCCCGAUGAAGCAACUGUCGCCCACUAAUGUAGCCUACAACCACAGCUGCCUCUGAAUCUACUCAUUCCUUCCCAGGGGUGCCGUGUUCCUGAGUCACCAGCAGGAGUACGAGAACAGAGGAUACUGGCUCCAGUCUGCUGCAGCCACAUGAUGGUGCUGAUGGUGCGGGUGGUGGUAGGUGUGCUGCUGAGCUCCGUGUUCUGCUGAGGG
Molecule: long non-coding RNA, 1953 nt
Organism: Cynoglossus semilaevis (tongue sole)
Lineage: Eukaryota; Metazoa; Chordata; Actinopteri; Pleuronectiformes; Cynoglossidae
Exons: 3
Source: RefSeq, a predicted model, not a curated record